CUGAGUCUGUCCAUAAGCUAGCUCAGCAGUUGAUUCGAAAAGACAGGUGCCCUCGAAGGCACAGUGAUAUCGUUAGGUACCUCUGGCCGAUUGAUUAUACAUAUAUCUUUCAGUUUAGUUCUGUUUAGAACUGUUUUCAUGUUACAUGUCUGACAAUUAGACAAGCAAGCUAAAAAUAAGACUGCUAAAUAGUACUCUAAGUGCACAUUUCUUUUUACUGUACUAAACCAAUAUCAGUCUACAGAUUUAGCUAGUAUAAUAGCCUUUUACCCAUGUGACAGGUGCCCGUUAAGGCACAGUUACAGUUGCAGGAGGAAUUUAAUUCCCUACUAUUGUAUAUACAUUUAAACUGACCGCCUGUACUUUGACUCUAUUUAGUAGCCGACAAUACUGGGAUAUAGAAGCAGUUCCACAUCAAGUUAUAUCUUCUUGUAUUACUAUUACGUUUAAACGCUCAGCAGCAUUAACAGACUUUGUAGCAUUGCCGAUAACUUAGGC
Non-coding RNA from Pelobates cultripes (western spadefoot toad), 498 nucleotides. Lineage: Eukaryota; Metazoa; Chordata; Amphibia; Anura; Pelobatidae. The record is from the annotation of a GenBank genome assembly.